CCUGUGAUAUACAGAAGUGACGGGCGAUAUGUGCAUAAGAAAUUUCUUUAUUCAAUUACAAAUUAUUUUUAUACUAUUUAGCUUCAAGUUCAUUUUAUCAAUUUUCUCUUAAUCUUUCCAUUAUAUUUAUUAACGUAUUCCACUUCUCCAAAGCUAUAUUCUUUAUCUUGAUUUGUUUUAGGAUUAUUUCUAUUUUUUAAAAAAUAAAAUAUAUUUCUUUUUUCUAACAAUGAUAUAAAAGAUUAUAAGCUUUGUUAAUUAUAUCGUGGGUUGUCGAUUAAAUAAUUAGAAUCCCCUGCUAAGGGUUCUCACCGCCAUUAUAGUUAGAUUUAGCUUAAUUAGUUACUAUCUAUUUAAUUUUAGAA
Molecule: ribosomal RNA, 365 nt
Filed under: Acaphyllisa sp. FJ18 1
Lineage: Eukaryota; Metazoa; Arthropoda; Arachnida; Trombidiformes; Eriophyidae
Description: partial small subunit ribosomal RNA
Source: RNAcentral